RNAcentral lists this ribosomal RNA (599 nucleotides) under uncultured fungus. RNAcentral describes it as "eukaryotic LSU rRNA". The stretch from base 207 to 360 matches the Rfam family "5.8S ribosomal RNA". Lineage: Eukaryota; Fungi. The record is from RNAcentral.
AGUAAAAGUCGUAACAAGGUCUCCGUUGGUGAACCAGCGGAGGGAUCAUUACAGAGUUUUCUAAACUCCCAAACCCAUGUGAACAAUACCUGUGCCUCGGCGGUGAUACCCCCUAAGUGCUACCCUGCACUUCAGGGUGGCUAGCCGUCGAAGGACCAUAAACUCUUGUUUUACUGUACCUCUGAAUCAAAAACUUAAUAAGUUAAAACUUUCAACAACGGAUCUCUUGGUUCUGGCAUCGAUGAGGAACGCAGCGAAAUGCGAUAAGUAAUGUGAAUUGCAGAAUUCAGUGAAUCAUCGAAUCUUUGAACGCACAUUGCGCCCAUUAGUAUUCUAUUGGGCAUGCCUGUUCGAGCGUCAUUUCAACCCUCACGCACUGCGUGGCAUUGGGCUCGCCCCUGCUGGGCUUGCCUCAAAAUCAGUGGCGGCUUCUUCAGCACCCCUAGGCGUAGUAAUGCUACCGCUUGUGGAAGCUGGAGCGGCCUGCUAGGAACCCCCACAUCUUAAAGGUUGACCUCGGGUCAGGUAGGGAUACCCGCUGAACUUAAGCAUAUCAAUAAGCGGAGGAAAAGAAACCAACAGGGAUUGCCCUAGUAACG